This is a non-coding RNA of Phrynosoma platyrhinos (Desert horned lizard), 72 nucleotides long. NCBI's taxonomy places the organism in Eukaryota, Metazoa, Chordata, Lepidosauria, Squamata, Phrynosomatidae. The record is from the annotation of a GenBank genome assembly.
GCCAGUGUGGCAUAGUGGUUUGAGUGCUGGACCACAGCUCUGGAAAUGAGGGUUCAAUUCCCUGCUUUGCUA